RNAcentral lists this ribosomal RNA (507 nucleotides) under uncultured bacterium. RNAcentral describes it as "partial 16S ribosomal RNA". It matches the Rfam family "Bacterial small subunit ribosomal RNA", at positions 28 to 507 of the family's 1533-position model. The record is from RNAcentral.
GACGAACGCUGGCGGCGUGCCUAAUACAUGCAAGUCGAACGCAUUUUCUUUCACCGUAGCUUGCUACACCGAAAGAAAAUGAGUGGCGAACGGGUGAGUAACACGUGGGUAACCUGCCCAUCAGCGGGGGAUAACACUUGGAAACAGGUGCUAAUACCGCAUAAUUCCAUUUACCGCAUGGUAGAUGGGUGAAAGGCGCUUUUGCGUCACUGAUGGAUGGACCCGCGGUGCAUUAGCUAGUUGGUGGGGUAACGGCCUACCAAGGCUGCGAUGCAUAGCCGACCUGCGAGGGUGAUCGGCCACACUGGGACUGAGACACGGCCCAGACUCCUACGGGAGGCAGCAGUAGGGAAUCUUCGGCAAUGGACGCAAGUCUGACCGAGCAACGCCGCGUGAGUGAAGAAGGUUUUCGGAUCGUAAAACUCUGUUGUUAGAGAAGAACAAGGAUGAGAGUGGAAAGUUCAUCCCUUGACGGUAUCUAACCAGAAAGCCACGGCUAACUACGUG